GUGUCAGCAGCCGCGGUAAUACGUAGGGGGCAAGCGUUGUCCGGAUUUAUUGGGCGUAAAGAGCGUGUAGGCGGCUUGGUAGGUCUCGCGUCAAAACCUGAGGCUCAACCUCAGUUCGCGUGGGAAACCACCUAGCUAGAGUCCGGAAGAGGAGAACGGAAUUCCCAGUGUAGCGGUGAAAUGCGCAGAUAUUGGGAAGAACACCAGUGGCGAAGGCGGUUCUCUGGGACGGUACUGACGCUGAGACGCGAAAGCGUGGGGAGCGAACAGGAUUAGAAACCCCCGUAGUCC
RNAcentral lists this ribosomal RNA (291 nucleotides) under uncultured bacterium. RNAcentral describes it as "partial 16S ribosomal RNA". It matches the Rfam family "Bacterial small subunit ribosomal RNA", at positions 505 to 796 of the family's 1533-position model. The record is from RNAcentral.